AUUGAACGCUGGCGGCAGGCCUAACACAUGCAAGUCGAACGAGGGGCGGACGGGAGAGUAAUGUCUGGGAAACUGCCAGAUGGAGGGGGAUAACUACUGGAAACGGUAGCUAAUACCGCAUACCAUCAGAAGUGCACAGAUGGGAUUGGCUUGAUGGGGGGGUAACGGCUCACCAAGGCGCCGACCCCUAGCUGGUCUGAGAGGAUGACCAGCGACGCUGGAACUGUGACACGGUCCUGACUCCGACGUGAGGCAGCAGUGGGGAUGAUGGCACACUGGGUGCAAGCCUGAUGCAGCUAUGCCGAGUGUGUGAAGAAGGCCUUCGGGUUGUAAAGUACUUUCAGCGGAGAGGCGUUGCCCGCAGAAGAAGCACCGGCUAACUCCGUGCCAGCAGCCGCGGUAAUAC
This 406-nucleotide ribosomal RNA is filed under the name uncultured bacterium. RNAcentral's name for it is "partial 16S ribosomal RNA". It matches the Rfam family "Bacterial small subunit ribosomal RNA", at positions 29 to 526 of the family's 1533-position model. The record is from RNAcentral.